RNAcentral lists this ribosomal RNA (506 nucleotides) under uncultured bacterium. Its description in RNAcentral is "bacterial SSU rRNA". It matches the Rfam family "Bacterial small subunit ribosomal RNA", at positions 9 to 497 of the family's 1533-position model. The record is from RNAcentral.
GAGUUUGAUCCUGGCUCAGGAUGAACGCUGGCGGCGUGCCUAAUACAUGCAAGUCGAGCGAACAGAUAAGGAGCUUGCUCCUUUGACGUUAGCGGCGGACGGGUGAGUAACACGUGGGUAACCUACCUAUAAGACUGGAAUAACUCCGGGAAACCGGGGCUAAUGCCGGAUAAUAUUUAGAACCGCAUGGUUCUAAAGUGAAAGAUGGUUUUGCUAUCACUUAUAGAUGGACCCGCGCCGUAUUAGCUAGUUGGUGGGGUAAUGGCUUACCAAGGCAACGAUACGUAGCCGACCUGAGAGGGUGAUCGGCCACACUGGAACUGAGACACGGUCCAGACUCCUACGGGAGGCAGCAGUAGGGAAUCUUCCGCAAUGGGCGAAAGCCUGACGGAGCAACGCCGCGUGAGUGAUGAAGGUCUUCGGAUCGUAAAACUCUGUUAUUAGGGAAGAACAAAUGUGUAAGUAACUGUGCACGUCUUGACGGUACCUAAUCAGAAAGCCACGGC